Molecule: ribosomal RNA, 461 nt
Filed under: uncultured bacterium
Lineage: Bacteria
Description: bacterial SSU rRNA
Rfam family: Bacterial small subunit ribosomal RNA
Source: RNAcentral
AAUGAACGCUGGCGGUAGGCUUAACACAUGCAAGUCGGACGGAAACGAUGAAGUGCUUGCACUUCAGGCGUCGAGUGGCGGACGGGUGAGUAACGCGUGGGAAUCUACCCUAUAGUUGGGGACAACAUAUGGAAACGUAUGCUAAUACCGAAUGUGCUCUAAGGAGUAAAGGAGCCCUCUUCUUGAAAGGUUUCGCUAUAGGAUGAGCCCGCGUGAGAUUAGCUAGUUGGUAAGGUAAUGGCUUACCAAGGCAACGAUCUCUAGCUGGUUUGAGAGGAUGAUCAGCCACACUGGGACUGAGACACGGCCCAGACUCCUACGGGAGGCAGCAGUGGGGAAUAUUGCACAAUGAGCGAAACCCUGAUCCAGCAAUACCACGUGUGUGAAGAAGGCCCGAGGGUUGUAAAGCACUUUAGUCAGGGAGAAGGUUCAUAUGUUAAUAGCAUAUGGAAUUGACGUUA